Molecule: non-coding RNA, 960 nt
Filed under: Tragulus napu (Balabac chevrotain)
Lineage: Eukaryota; Metazoa; Chordata; Mammalia; Artiodactyla; Tragulidae
Description: 12S ribosomal RNA
Rfam family: Bacterial small subunit ribosomal RNA
Source: RNAcentral
CACAGGUUUGGUCCUAGCCUUUCCAUUGGCUCUAAACAGAAUUACACAUGCAAGCAUCCACAUCCUCGUGAAAAUGCCCCAAGGGUCUGCAAGACACAAAGGAGCGGGCAUCAAGCACGCCAAUAGGGCAGCUUAUGACGCCUUGCCUAGCCACACCCCCACGGGAAACAGCAGUGAUAAAAAUUAAGCCAUGAACGAAAGUUUGACUAAGUCAUGUUGAACAGGGUUGGUAAAUUUCGUGCCAGCCACCGCGGCCAUACGAUUGACCCGAGUUAAUGGACACACGGCGUAAAGCGUGUUAAAAGAGAAUAAAUAAAAUAAGGUUAAAAUUUGAUUAAGAUGUAAAAAGCCACAGUCAAAUCAAAAAUAAACGACGAAAGUGAUCUUAACACAUACCGACACACGAUAGCUAAGACCCAAACUGGGAUUAGAUACCCCACUAUGCUUAGCCCUAAACAUAAAUAGCUAAUUAAACAAAACUAUUCGCCAGAGAACUACUAGCCACAGCUUAAAACUCAAAGGACUUGGCGGUGCUUUAUACCCCCCUAGAGGAGCCUGUUCUGUGAUCGAUAAACCCCGAUAAACCUCACCAACCCUUGCUAAUUCAGCCUAUAUACCGCCAUCUUCAGCAAACCCUAAAAAAGGAACAAAAGUAAGCUUAACCAUUAUGCAUAAAAACGUUAGGUCAAGGUGUAGCCAAUGGGGUGGGAAGAAAUGGGCUACAUUUUCUACUCACAAAGAAUAUACGAAAGUUCUCAUGAAACUGACGACCAAAGGAGGAUUUAGUAGUAAGCUAGGAAUAGAGUGCUUAGCUGAACUAGGCUAUGAAGCACGCACACACCGCCCGUCACCCUCCUCAAGUACACCCAAUACCACCUAAACCUACUAACCGGUAUUAGCAGCAUGAGAGGAGACAAGUCGUAACAAGGUAAGUAUACUGGAAAGUGUACUUGGAUAAAC